CUCAACACGGCGAUCCACUUCAGGCUUCUGCGUCUUCUUAGGCGACAAUCUUCUCUCCUGGUCUGCAAAGCGUCAACAGACAGUGUCAAGAUCGAGUGCUGAAGCCGAAUACAAGGGUGUCGCAAACGCAGUCGCAGAGACUUGCUGGCUACGCAAUCUUCUUCUCGAGAUGCACUGCCCUCUACAGCGAGCCACCAUAGUCUACUGUGACAAUAUCAGUGCCGUUUAUCUCAGCUCAAACCCUGUUCAACAUCAACGCACCAAACACAUUGAAAUAGAUAUACAUUUUGUGAGAGAAAAGGUGCAGAUGGGGCAGGUACGAGUAUUACACAUACCGGCUUCUUCACAGUAUGCAGACAUUUUCACCAAAGGACUUCCUUCUUCCCUGUUCAUCAGCUUCAGGUCCAGUCUUGGCGUCUCAAAGCUCGACGCUGCGACUGAGGGAGGGUGUUAGUCAACAAGAAUAUUCCAUUCUUGUUAUGAUAUCGUUACCUAUAUACUUGGGCAUAUCCCUACUCUCUUGUAACGAUCUCCUCAAUAUAUACUUGUGUAAUCAUGUAAAUGAAUUCAAGGGAAACACUUCCACUUUCAA
RNAcentral lists this long non-coding RNA (592 nucleotides) under Brassica rapa (field mustard). RNAcentral describes it as "long non-coding RNA (BRAP_LNC001758)". The record is from RNAcentral. Lineage: Eukaryota; Viridiplantae; Streptophyta; Magnoliopsida; Brassicales; Brassicaceae.